This 947-nucleotide ribosomal RNA is filed under the name Ophicrania palinurus. RNAcentral's name for it is "SSU rRNA". It matches the Rfam family "Eukaryotic small subunit ribosomal RNA", at positions 425 to 1310 of the family's 1831-position model. The record is from RNAcentral. Lineage: Eukaryota; Metazoa; Arthropoda; Insecta; Phasmatodea; Phasmatidae.
GCAGCAGGCGCGCAAAUUACCCACUCCCGGCACGGGGAGGUAGUGACGAAAAAUAACGAUACGGGACUCAUCCGAGGCCCCGUAAUCGGAAUGAGUACACUUUUAAACCCUUUAACGAGUAUCCAUUGGAGGGCAAGUCUGGUGCCAGCAGCCGCGGUAAUUCCAGCUCCAAUAGCGUAUAUUAAAGUUGUUGCGGUUAAAAAGCUCGUAGUUGGAUUUGUGUCCCACGCUGUCGGUUCACCGUUCGUCGGUGUUUAACUGGCAUGCCCGUGCGGACGUCCUGCCGGUGGAUGCGGUCGGCCGUGGGCUUCUGGUCUGCGCGUCGGCGGUCCGAUGCAAUCCUACCGCGGUGCUCUUCACCGAGUGUCGAGGUGGGCCGGCACGUUUACUUUGAACAAAUUAGAGUGCUCAAAGCAGGCAGUGGUUCGCCUGAAUAUUGUGUGCAUGGAAUAAUGGAAUAGGACCUCGGUUCUAUUUUGUUGGUUUUCGGAACUUGAGGUAAUGAUUAAUAGGGACAGACGGGGGCAUUCGUAUUGCGACGUUAGAGGUGAAAUUCUUGGAUCGUCGCAAGACGAACCUAAGCGAAAGCAUUUGCCAUGAGUGUUUUCAUUAAUCAAGAACGAAAGUUAGAGGUUCGAAGGCGAUCAGAUACCGCCCUAGUUCUAACCAUAAACGAUGCCAGCUAGCGAUCCGCCGAAGUUCCUCCGAUGACUCGGCGGGCAGCUUCCGGGAAACCAAAGCUUUUGGGUUCCGGGGGAAGUAUGGUUGCAAAGCUGAAACUUAAAGGAAUUGACGGAAGGGCACCACCAGGAGUGGAGCCUGCGGCUUAAUUUGACUCAACACGGGAAACCUCACCAGGCCCGGACACCGGAAGGAUUGACAGAUUGAGAGCUCUUUCUUGAUUCGGUGGGUGGUGGUGCAUGGCCGUUCUUAGUUGGUGGAGCGAU